Molecule: ribosomal RNA, 253 nt
Filed under: uncultured bacterium
Lineage: Bacteria
Description: partial 16S ribosomal RNA
Rfam family: Bacterial small subunit ribosomal RNA
Source: RNAcentral
UACGUAGGGGGCUAGCGUUGUCCGGAAUCAUUGGGCGUAAAGAGCGUGUAGGCGGCCCGGUAAGUCCGCUGUGAAAGUCGGGGGCUCAACCCUCGAAUGCCGGUGGAUACUGUCGGGCUAGAGUGCGGAAGAGGCGAGUGGAAUUCCAGGUGUAGCGGUGAAAUGCGUAGAUAUCUGGAGGAACACCGGUGGCGAAGGCGGCAUCCUGGACCGACACUGACGCUGAUGAGCGAAAGCCAGGGGAGCAAACGGG